UACGUAGGGUGCAAGCGUUGUCCGGAAUUAUUGGGCGUAAAGAGCUCGUAGGCGGUCUGUCGCGUCUGCUGUGAAAACUCAGGGCUUAACCCUGAGCUUGCAGUGGGUACGGGCAGACUAGAGUGCGGUAGGGGAGACUGGAAUUCCUGGUGUAGCGGUGGAAUGCGCAGAUAUCAGGAGGAACACCGGUGGCGAAGGCGGGUCUCUGGGCCGUAACUGACGCUGAGGAGCGAAAGCAUGGGGAGCGAACAGG
RNAcentral lists this ribosomal RNA (253 nucleotides) under uncultured bacterium. RNAcentral describes it as "partial 16S ribosomal RNA". It matches the Rfam family "Bacterial small subunit ribosomal RNA", at positions 524 to 776 of the family's 1533-position model. The record is from RNAcentral.